This is a non-coding RNA of Podarcis lilfordi (Lilford's wall lizard), 74 nucleotides long. NCBI's taxonomy places the organism in Eukaryota, Metazoa, Chordata, Lepidosauria, Squamata, Lacertidae. The record is from the annotation of a GenBank genome assembly.
CGCCCACUAGCUCCGUCGGUAAAGCAUGAGAAUCUUAAUCUCAGGGCUGCGGGUUCGAACCCCAUGUUGGGUGA